Molecule: transfer RNA, 72 nt
Organism: Aspergillus oryzae
Lineage: Eukaryota; Fungi; Ascomycota; Eurotiomycetes; Eurotiales; Aspergillaceae
Rfam family: tRNA
About the family: Transfer RNA (tRNA) molecules are approximately 80 nucleotides in length. Their secondary structure includes four short double-helical elements and three loops (D, anti-codon, and T loops).
Source: Rfam
GGUUGUGUAGUGUAAUGGUUAUCACCCUGGAUUCUGAUUCCAGUAAUCCCGGUUCGAUCCCGGGCACGACCU